GGCAGAGAGCGGCGGAGUCAUCAGGUUGGUGUGUGUGCUCACCUUCACGCAAGGAACCUAGCCCUGGAACCCCCACACUGCCUGCUGUUCAGGGAAGGGGAACCCUCUCCAGGGCCCUAGAGUGGGCUCACACGUGCUGACAAAGCAAGAGACUUGGCUGGAGGGGCGCCCGGGAGGACAGCAGCAGGCUAGGGCAUGGAGGAGAAAUAUACUUCCAUGUUUGCUUACAGGGAACUCUAGAAGGACCCGUAAGAAACAAAACACUACCUGCGGAGGGCAGACGGCCCUGGGCACACAGGCUAAACGACAGGAGGCACAAAUUAAGGCGAGUAUAUAAUAUAUCUCUA
Capra hircus (goat) is the source of this 347-nucleotide long non-coding RNA. RefSeq lists it as uncharacterized. The transcript is spliced from 3 exons. NCBI's taxonomy places the organism in Eukaryota, Metazoa, Chordata, Mammalia, Artiodactyla, Bovidae. The record is from RefSeq and is a predicted model, not a curated record.